RNAcentral lists this ribosomal RNA (367 nucleotides) under uncultured bacterium. Its description in RNAcentral is "bacterial SSU rRNA". It matches the Rfam family "Bacterial small subunit ribosomal RNA", at positions 30 to 396 of the family's 1533-position model. The record is from RNAcentral.
AUUGAACGCUGGCGGCAUGCCUUACACAUGCAAGUCGAACGGCAGCACGGGAGCAAUCCUGGUGGCGAGUGGCGAACGGGUGAGUAAUAUAUCGGAACGUGCCCAGUCGUGGGGAUAACGUAGCGAAAGCUACGCUAAUACCGCAUACGAUCUAUGGAUGAAAGCGGGGGAUCGCAAGACCUCGCGCGAUUGGAGCGGCCGAUAUCAGAUUAGGUAGUUGGUGAGGUAAAGGCUCACCAAGCCGACGAUCUGUAGCUGGUCUGAGAGGACGACCAGCCACACUGGAACUGAGACACGGUCCAGGACUCCUACGGGAGCGAGCAGUGGGGAAUUUUGGGACAAUGGACGCAAGUCUGAUCCAGCCAUU